Molecule: transfer RNA, 75 nt
Filed under: compost metagenome
Description: tRNA-Met
Rfam family: tRNA
About the family: Transfer RNA (tRNA) molecules are approximately 80 nucleotides in length. Their secondary structure includes four short double-helical elements and three loops (D, anti-codon, and T loops).
Source: RNAcentral
UGCGGGGUAGAGCAGAGGUAGCUCGCGUGGCUCAUAAUCACGAGGUCGGCAGUUCAAGUCUGCCCCCCGCUACCA